CGGCAGGCUUAACACAUGCAAGUCGAGCGGUAGCACAAGGGAGCUUGCUCYCUGGGUGACGAGCGGCGGACGGGUGAGUAAUGUCUGGGAAACUGCCUGAUGGAGGGGGAUAACUACUGGAAACGGUAGCUAAUACCGCAUAACGUCGCAAGACCAAAGAGGGGGACCUUCGGGCCUCUUGCCAUCAGAUGUGCCCAGAUGGGAUUAGCUAGUAGGUGGGGUAAUGGCUCACCUAGGCGACGAUCCCUAGCUGGUCUGAGAGGAUGACCAGCCACACUGGAACUGAGACACGGUCCAGACUCCUACGGGAGGCAGCAGUGGGGAAUAUUGCACAAUGGGCGCAAGCCUGAUGCAGCCAUGCCGCGUGUGUGAAGAAGGCCUUCGGGUUGUAAAGCACUUUCAGCGAGGAGGAAGGUGGUGAACUUAAUACGUUCAUCAAUUGACGUUACUCGCAGAAGAAGCACCGGCUAACUCCGUGCCAGCAGCCGCRRGGUAAUACA
RNAcentral lists this ribosomal RNA (500 nucleotides) under bacterium SNB-CN14. RNAcentral's name for it is "bacterial SSU rRNA". It matches the Rfam family "Bacterial small subunit ribosomal RNA", at positions 40 to 527 of the family's 1533-position model. The record is from RNAcentral.